UACAGAGACCUCAAGCGUUAUCCGGAUUUAUUGGGCGUAAAGGGCAGGUAGGCGGUUUUGUUAGUCGGAUGUUAAAGCUCGGGGCUCAACCCCGAAUCUGCAUUCGAAACGGCAAGACUAGAGGAUGUGAGAGAUCAGUGGAAUUGAUGGUGUAGUAGUGAAAUGCGUUGAUAUCAUCAAGAACACCCAAGGCGAAGGCAACUGAUUGGCACAUAUCUGACGCUGAGCUGCGAAAGCGUGGGGAGCGAAUGGG
RNAcentral lists this ribosomal RNA (253 nucleotides) under uncultured bacterium. RNAcentral describes it as "partial 16S ribosomal RNA". It matches the Rfam family "Bacterial small subunit ribosomal RNA", at positions 524 to 776 of the family's 1533-position model. The record is from RNAcentral.